Molecule: ribosomal RNA, 253 nt
Filed under: uncultured bacterium
Lineage: Bacteria
Description: partial 16S ribosomal RNA
Rfam family: Bacterial small subunit ribosomal RNA
Source: RNAcentral
UACGUAGGGUGCAAGCGUUAAUCGGAAUUACUGGGCGUAAAGCGUGCGCAGGCGGCGCCGCAAGUCAGGCGUGAAAUCCCCGAGCUCAACUUGGGAAUUGCGCUUGAAACUACGGUGCUGGAGUAUAGCAGAGGGAGGUGGAAUUCCACGUGUAGCGGUGAAAUGCGUAGAGAUGUGGAGGAACACCGAUGGCGAAGGCAGCCUCCUGGGCCAAUACUGACGCUCAUGCACGAAAGCGUGGGGAGCAAACAGG